GAUGAACGCUAGCGACAGGCUUAACACAUGCAAGUCGAGGGGUAACAGGGUAGCAAUACCGCUGACGACCGGCGCACGGGUGAGUAACGCGUAUGCAACCUGCCUAUAACUGGGGAAUAGCUCCCUGAAAGGGGAAUUAACACCGCAUAACACUAUUUAUUCGCAUGGAUUGGUAGUUAAAUGUAGCGAUACAGGUUAUAGAUGGGCACGCGUGACAUUAGCUAGUUGGUGAGGUAACGGCUCACCAAGGCUACGAUGUCUAGGGGUUCUGAGAGGAAGGUCCCCCACACUGGUACUGAGACACGGACCAG
Molecule: ribosomal RNA, 311 nt
Filed under: uncultured bacterium
Lineage: Bacteria
Description: bacterial SSU rRNA
Rfam family: Bacterial small subunit ribosomal RNA
Source: RNAcentral